GGCCUCGGAUCAGGUAGGGAUACCCGCUGAACUUAA
RNAcentral lists this ribosomal RNA (36 nucleotides) under Usnea strigosa. Its description in RNAcentral is "partial 28S ribosomal RNA". Lineage: Eukaryota; Fungi; Ascomycota; Lecanoromycetes; Lecanorales; Parmeliaceae. The record is from RNAcentral.